GGGUUGUGAGGUUAAGCGACUAAGCGUACACGGUGGAUGCCCUGGCAGUCAGAGGCGAUGAAGGGCGUGCUAAUCUGCGAUAAGCGCCGGUAAGGUGAUAUGAACCGUUAUAACCGGCGAUACCCGAAUGGGGAAACCCAGUGUGAUUCGUCACACUAUCAUUAACUGAAUCCAUAGGUUAAUGAGGCGAACCGGGGGAACUGAAACAUCUAAGUACCCCGAGGAAAAGAAAUCAACCGAGAUUCCCCCAGUAGCGGCGAGCGAACGGGGAGGAGCCCAGAGCCUGAAUCAGCAUGUGUGUUAGUGGAAGCGUCUGGAAAGGCGCGCGAUACAGGGUGACAGCCCCGUACACAAAAGCGCAUGUGCUGUGAGCUCGAUGAGUAGGGCGGGACACGUGGUAUCCUGUCUGAAUAUGGGGGGACCAUCCUCCAAGGCUAAAUACUCCUGACUGACCGAUAGUGAACCAGUACCGUGAGGGAAAGGCGAAAAGAACCCCGGCGAGGGGAGUGAAAAAGAACCUGAAACCGUGUACGUACAAGCAGUGGGAGCACACGUUUACGGGUGUGACUGCGUACCUUUUGUAUAAUGGGUCAGCGACUUAUAUUCUGUAGCAAGGUUAACCGUAUAGGGGAGCCGGAGGGAAACCGAGUCUUAACCGGGCGUUAAGUUGCAGGGUAUAGACCCGAAACCCGGUGAUCUAGCCAUGGGCAGGUUGAAGGUUGGGUAACACUAACUGGAGGACCGAACCGACUAAUGUUGAAAAAUUAGCGGAUGACCUGUGGCUGGGGGUGAAAGGCCAAUCAAACCGGGAGAUAGCUGGUUCUCCCCGAAAGCUAUUUAGGUAGCGCCUCGUGAAUUCAUCUCCGGGGGUAGAGCACUGUUUCGGCUAGGGGGCCAUCCCGGCUUACCAACCCGAUGCAAACUGCGAAUACCGGAGAAUGUUAUCACGGGAGACACACGGCGGGUGCUAACGUCCGUCGUGAAGAGGGAAACAACCCAGACCGCCAGCUAAGGUCCCAAAGUCAUGGUUAAGUGGGAAACGAUGUGGGAAGGCCCAGACAGCCAGGAUGUUGGCUUAGAAGCAGCCAUCAUUUAAAGAAAGCGUAAUAGCUCACUGGUCGAGUCGGCCUGCGCGGAAGAUGUAACGGGGCUAAACCAUGCACCGAAGCUGCGGCAGCGACGUUUAUGCGUUGUUGGGUAGGGGAGCGUUCUGUAAGCCUGUGAAGGUGGCCUGUGAGGGAUGCUGGAGGUAUCAGAAGUGCGAAUGCUGACAUAAGUAACGAUAAAGCGGGUGAAAAGCCCGCUCGCCGGAAGACCAAGGGUUCCUGUCCAACGUUAAUCGGGGCAGGGUGAGUCGACCCCUAAGGCGAGGCCGAAAGGCGUAGUCGAUGGGAAACGGGUUAAUAUUCCCGUACUUGGUGUUACUGCGAAGGGGGGACGGAGAAGGCUAUGUUGGCCGGGCGACGGUUGUCCCGGUUUAAGCGUGUAGGCUGGUUUUCCAGGCAAAUCCGGAAAAUCAAGGCUGAGGCGUGACGACGAGGCACUACGGUGCUGAAGCAACAAAUGCCCUGCUUCCAGGAAAAGCCUCUAAGCAUCAGGUAACAUCAAAUCGUACCCCAAACCGACACAGGUGGUCAGGUAGAGAAUACCAAGGCGCUUGAGAGAACUCGGGUGAAGGAACUAGGCAAAAUGGUGCCGUAACUUCGGGAGAAGGCACGCUGACACGUAGGUGAAGUGAUUUACUCAUGGAGCUGAAGUCAGUCGAAGAUACCAGCUGGCUGCAACUGUUUAUUAAAAACACAGCACUGUGCAAACACGAAAGUGGACGUAUACGGUGUGACGCCUGCCCGGUGCCGGAAGGUUAAUUGAUGGGGUCAGCGCAAGCGAAGCUCCUGAUCGAAGCCCCGGUAAACGGCGGCCGUAACUAUAACGGUCCUAAGGUAGCGAAAUUCCUUGUCGGGUAAGUUCCGACCUGCACGAAUGGCGUAAUGAUGGCCAGGCUGUCUCCACCCGAGACUCAGUGAAAUUGAACUCGCUGUGAAGAUGCAGUGUACCCGCGGCAAGACGGAAAGACCCCGUGAACCUUUACUAUAGCUUGACACUGAACAUUGAGCCUUGAUGUGUAGGAUAGGUGGGAGGCUUUGAAGCGUGGACGCCAGUCUGCGUGGAGCCGACCUUGAAAUACCACCCUUUAAUGUUUGAUGUUCUAACGUGGACCCGUAAUCCGGGUUGCGGACAGUGUCUGGUGGGUAGUUUGACUGGGGCGGUCUCCUCCUAAAGAGUAACGGAGGAGCACGAAGGUUGGCUAAUCCUGGUCGGACAUCAGGAGGUUAGUGCAAUGGCAUAAGCCAGCUUGACUGCGAGCGUGACGGCGCGAGCAGGUGCGAAAGCAGGUCAUAGUGAUCCGGUGGUUCUGAAUGGAAGGGCCAUCGCUCAACGGAUAAAAGGUACUCCGGGGAUAACAGGCUGAUACCGCCCAAGAGUUCAUAUCGACGGCGGUGUUUGGCACCUCGAUGUCGGCUCAUCACAUCCUGGGGCUGAAGUAGGUCCCAAGGGUAUGGCUGUUCGCCAUUUAAAGUGGUACGCGAGCUGGGUUUAGAACGUCGUGAGACAGUUCGGUCCCUAUCUGCCGUGGGCGCUGGAGAACUGAGGGGGGCUGCUCCUAGUACGAGAGGACCGGAGUGGACGCAUCACUGGUGUUCGGGUUGUCAUGCCAAUGGCACUGCCCGGUAGCUAAAUGCGGAAGAGAUAAGUGCUGAAAGCAUCUAAGCACGAAACUUGCCCCGAGAUGAGUUCUCCCUGAGACUUAAAGUCUCCUGAAGGAACGUUGAAGACGACGACGUUGAUAGGCCGGGUGUGUAAGCGCAGCGAUGC
This 2874-nucleotide ribosomal RNA is filed under the name Salmonella enterica subsp. enterica serovar Bareilly str. CFSAN001087. Its description in RNAcentral is "bacterial LSU rRNA". It matches the Rfam family "Bacterial large subunit ribosomal RNA". The record is from RNAcentral. Lineage: Bacteria; Pseudomonadati; Pseudomonadota; Gammaproteobacteria; Enterobacterales; Enterobacteriaceae.